This is a long non-coding RNA of Mustela erminea (ermine), 705 nucleotides long. RefSeq lists it as uncharacterized. NCBI's taxonomy places the organism in Eukaryota, Metazoa, Chordata, Mammalia, Carnivora, Mustelidae. The transcript is spliced from 4 exons. The record is from RefSeq and is a predicted model, not a curated record.
CCCUACACCAUGGGAUGGAGCUUGCCCUGACUCAUCUGCCAGGGAUGGUCCCCUCGUCUGUUUUAAGGCAUUUUAAGUCCUUCUGCUUGGAAAUGAAAAUACUGAGGAACAACACAUUUAAGAAAAGAAGGUAAAAACCAACCCUGUUUCUACUUGAAGAAUGCAAGAGUUUCCACACUUCUAGCCAAGAACCACCUGGAGAACCUGUGAAAACUCAGCUGUGUCCCACUCUCUCCGUGAUUCUGUUUCAGUAGAAUCAACAGCUCUGGGGCGGAGCCAGAUGAUUUCCCUUCCUCACAAGCUCCCAGGUGCUGCUGCUGCUGGCUUAUAUGAGAACCAAUGUUCUAAAGAGUACUGGCAUAAUAACAUCUUGUUAAAUUAAUGCCAAACGCAAUAUAGACACUACAGGGCUUUGAAAAACAACACAGAGAAUGAACAAAACUUAAAGACUGAAAUGAGUACUCUUCAAAUAAGACAAACUCCUGCUCUUUUUGGGCUGACUCUAAAGAUACAUCGUGGACUUCUGGCUGGCCUUAGACAGCUGGAGGUUGCUUUCAAAAUGCCAACUCACUUGUAUUUUCUGAAAUUACCAGCAAGUACUGAACACUGGGCUCAGUUUUAUAUAACAAGUCUUCCUCAAAUUGCUAUGAAUAUUGCUAUGCAUAUAUUGGUCAAAAAUCACUCUGUAAAUAAAUGGAAGUAAAA